This 253-nucleotide ribosomal RNA is filed under the name uncultured soil bacterium. RNAcentral describes it as "partial 16S ribosomal RNA". It matches the Rfam family "Bacterial small subunit ribosomal RNA", at positions 26 to 265 of the family's 1533-position model. The record is from RNAcentral.
AGAAUGAACGCUGGCGGCGUGCUUAACACAUGCAAGUCGAGCGAGGCCAGGGGGGCAACUCCCUGAGUCGAGCGGCGGACGGGUGAGUAACACGUGGGUAACCUACCCGGAAGUGGGGAAUACCUCGGGGAAACUCGAGCUAAUACCGCAUGAAAUCUCGAGGGCGAAAGUCCUUUUGAUCAAAGCGGGGCCGCAAGGCCUCGUGCUACCGGAUGGGCCCGCGCCCGAUUAGCUAGUUGGCGAGGUAAUGGCU